RNAcentral lists this ribosomal RNA (301 nucleotides) under uncultured bacterium. Its description in RNAcentral is "partial 16S ribosomal RNA". It matches the Rfam family "Bacterial small subunit ribosomal RNA", at positions 509 to 809 of the family's 1533-position model. The record is from RNAcentral.
CAGCAGCCGCGGUAAUACGAAGGGUGCAAGCGUUACUCGGAAUUACUGGGCGUAAAGCGUGCGUAGGUGGUGGUUUAAGUCCGUUGUGAAAGCCCUGGGCUCAACCUGGGAAUUGCAGUGGAUACUGGGUCACUAGAGUGUGGUAGAGGUUAGUGGAAUUUCCGGUGUAGCAGUGAAAUGCGUAGAGAUCGGGAGGAACAUCAGUGGCGAAGGCGGCCAUCUGGGACAACACUGACGCUGAGGCACGAAAGCGUGGGGAGCAAACAGGAUUAGAUACCCCAGUAGCCCUGUCUCUUAUACA